RNAcentral lists this small RNA (968 nucleotides) under Pongo abelii (Sumatran orangutan). RNAcentral's name for it is "unitary pseudogene". The record is from RNAcentral. Lineage: Eukaryota; Metazoa; Chordata; Mammalia; Primates; Hominidae.
ACCCACGCAGUGGUGCAGCUGGUGCUUCACUUCCGAUGGUCUUGGGUGGGCGUCCUGGCGCAGGGGGAUGACUUUGAGCUGCAGAGCAGCUCUCUGGUCGUCCAGGAGCUGGGCCAGGCUGGGGUCUGUAUCGAGUUCCAACUCCACAUCCCCAAGAGAUGUCUUCUGUGCCCAGAGAAGCAGCACUCGAGCUGCACCAGAGAUGGCUGCCUGCCCAGGAUAGAGACCUUCCUGGCCUUUGACGACCCCCUGGGACUCACGCUGGCCAGCCUGGCAGUGCUAGUCCUCAGACUGUUCCUGAAGCACCGAGACACACCUGUGGUCAGGGCCAACAACAGAGCUCUCAGCUACAUGCUGCUCAUCUCCCUGUGCCCUCUGUCCCUUGCCCUUCCUUGGUUGUCCCACAGCUGCCACCUGCCUCCUCUACCAGACCACAAUUGCUGUUGUGUCCACCAUAGCAAGACCCUCACUGUGGUCUUGGCCUUCAGGGUCACCAAGCCAGGGGACAGGGUCUGGGUGUGCCUGGGACCUGGCGCUUCCACCUCAGUGGUCCUUGCUGCUUCCUUGUUGCAGGUUGUUCUCUGUGGCAUCUGGCUGGGCACUUCCCCACCACUCCCAGACGGGGACAUGGCCUCAGAGCCCAGCCACAUUGUCAUCCAGUGCUGAGAGGGCUCUGCUGUCGCUUUGUCCUGUGUGCUGGGCUACCUGGGCCUCCUGGCUGGGGCCACCUUCUUUGUGGCCUUCCUGGCCAGGGGUCUGCCAGAUGCCUUCAACGAGUCCAAGUUCCUCACCUUCAGCAUGCUGCUUUUCUGCAGCUUCUGGACAACCUUCCUGCCCCUGUACCACGGCACACAGGGCAAGUCCACUGUGGCCGUGGAGAUCUUUUCCAUCCUGGCUUCCAUGGCAGGGCUGCUGGGUAGCAUCUUCGUCCCAAGUGCUACAUCAUCCUGCUAAAGCCCGAGCGGAAU